RNAcentral lists this ribosomal RNA (451 nucleotides) under uncultured bacterium. RNAcentral describes it as "partial 16S ribosomal RNA". It matches the Rfam family "Bacterial small subunit ribosomal RNA", at positions 29 to 523 of the family's 1533-position model. The record is from RNAcentral.
AGCGAACGCUGGCGGCAGGCUUAACACAUGCAAGUCGAGCGCCUGUAGCCAUACAGGAGCGGCAGACGGGUGAGUAACACGUGGGAACGUACCCUUUGGUUCGGAACAACACAGGGAAACUUGUGCUAAUACCGGAUACGCCCUUACGGGGAAAGAUUUAUCGCCGAAGGAUCGGCCCGCGUCUGAUUAGCUUGGUGGUGAGGUAACGGCUCACCAAGGCUACGAUCAGUAGCUGGUCUGCGAGGAGGAGCAGCCACACUGGGACUGAGACACGGCCCAGACUCUUACGGGAGGCAGCAGUGGGGAAUAUUGGACAAUGGGCGCAAGCCUGAUCCAGCCAUGCCGCGUGAGUGAUGAAGGCCCUAGGGUUGUAAAGCUCUUUCAGCGGGGAAGAUAAUGACGGUACCCGCAUAAGAAGCCCCGGCUAACUUCGUGCCAGCAGCCGCCGUAA